AUUAUUUUAUGUCAUUAUUAAUUUACCCCCCUGUUAUAUUAUCUCAUUAUUUAACCACCCUGUUUUUUUAUGAGAUAAAAUAACAGGGUGGUAAAAUACUUAAUGAGUGA
Molecule: long non-coding RNA, 110 nt
Organism: Astyanax mexicanus (Mexican tetra)
Lineage: Eukaryota; Metazoa; Chordata; Actinopteri; Characiformes; Acestrorhamphidae
Exons: 2
Source: RefSeq, a predicted model, not a curated record